MicroRNA precursor from Pan troglodytes (chimpanzee), 52 nucleotides. It matches the Rfam family "mir-1302 microRNA precursor family". NCBI's taxonomy places the organism in Eukaryota, Metazoa, Chordata, Mammalia, Primates, Hominidae. The record is from Rfam.
UUUUCAGGGUAAGUAUGUUCCAUGCAAUAUUUGGUAUGUAUUUAUCCUAAAA